RNAcentral lists this long non-coding RNA (548 nucleotides) under Bos indicus x Bos taurus (hybrid cattle). RNAcentral's name for it is "lncRNA (ENSBIXG00000028822.1)". Lineage: Eukaryota; Metazoa; Chordata; Mammalia; Artiodactyla; Bovidae. The record is from RNAcentral.
AUGAUCCUACUGGGGAAGCACAUUUUAGAUAAUUUUCCCAAAUGUCUUUAUAGGUUAUACUUCCAGAGAACCUGUUGCAACACAGCGUACAGAGACCACUGUCACUUGGGAUUCACCAGGUUAUAUUUCCAGAGAACCUGUUGCAACACAGCGUACAGAGACCACUGUCACUUGGGAUUCACCAGGUUAUAUUUCCAGAGAACCUGUUGCAACACAGCGUACAGAGACCACUGUCACUUGGGAUUCACCAGGUAAGUUACCAACCAAAGGAGAUGGGUAAUAGAUUUCCAGCCAUUAGUAUCAUAUCUGUGUAUUUAAUAAGCACCUAUCUGUGUGAUAUUCUAUGAUACAUGAGUCAAAUUAAAGCAACAACACCGAAAAGAAACAUUGCCAGGUUAAUUCUGGCUCUUGGAAUUGGGGUAAUUUUUUUCUGCUAUUUCAGUUCAGUUCAAUUCAGUCAUUCAGUUGUGUCCAACUCUUUGCGACCCCAUGAAUUGCAGCACGCCAGGCCUCCCUGUCCAUCACCAACUCCCGGAGUUCACCCAGAC